ACCUUAUCCAGAGAAGGUGGAGGGACUGGCCCGAUGAUACCCGGCAACCGACACAGCGCUUGCCUGUCAGCUAGACUGACGGCGCGAUUGCAAGCGAUGUGCACGGUGCUAAUUCCUGCAGAAGCAAAAGUAUUCUGGAAGAUAAGGG
Molecule: non-coding RNA, 148 nt
Filed under: Brevibacillus borstelensis
Lineage: Bacteria; Bacillati; Bacillota; Bacilli; Caryophanales; Paenibacillaceae
Also listed under: 1 other name
Description: SAM-I sequence
Rfam family: SAM riboswitch aptamer (S box leader)
About the family: The SAM riboswitch is found upstream of a number of genes which code for proteins involved in methionine or cysteine biosynthesis in Gram-positive bacteria. The SAM riboswitch acts at the level of transcription termination control. The predicted structure consists of a complex stem-loop region followed by a single stem loop terminator region.
Source: RNAcentral